This is a long non-coding RNA of Carassius carassius (crucian carp), 257 nucleotides long. RefSeq lists it as uncharacterized. The transcript has 3 exons. The record is from RefSeq and is a predicted model, not a curated record. NCBI's taxonomy places the organism in Eukaryota, Metazoa, Chordata, Actinopteri, Cypriniformes, Cyprinidae.
AACCGGAUGCAGAUGGAUUGUUCAGCAGCGAACAUGUGAGAUGGAUAAAUGCUGAAUUUCAUCGGAUCACAACCCUUCAUUUACAGUCCAAAAUUCCUGUCCAAACUGGAUCUGCUCUCUGAUCUGCUAAAAGUGUUUACCAAAAAGGGUGGAGUGUUUAGAAAAAAGAUUCAAGAUGUGAUCGUGCCAAUGUCUCAGACCAAGCAAGAGUGCAGUCUCAAGGUGCUAUGCAUCUACCUGAAUGAAGAUGAUGAUGA